Molecule: ribosomal RNA, 380 nt
Filed under: uncultured bacterium
Lineage: Bacteria
Description: bacterial SSU rRNA
Rfam family: Bacterial small subunit ribosomal RNA
Source: RNAcentral
CUGGUCUGUAACUGACGCUGAGGCUCGAAAGCGUGGGAGCGAACAGGAUUAGAUACCCUGGUAGUCCACGCCGUAAACGAUGAGUGCUAGGUAUUGGAUCCUUUCCGGGAUUCAGUGCCGCAGCUAACGCAUUAAGCACUCCGCCUGGGGAGUACGACCGCAAGGUUGAAACUCAAAGGAAUUGACGGGGCCCGCACAAGCGGUGGAGCAUGUGGUUUAAUUCGAAGCAACGCGAAGAACCUUACCAGGUCUUGACAUCCCGAUGCUAUUUCUAGAGAUAGAAAGUUACUUCGGUACAUCGGUGACAGGUGGUGCAUGGUUGUCGUCAGCUCGUGUCGUGAGAUGUUGGGUUAAGUCCCGCAACGAGCGCAACCCUUGUC